UACGUAGGGGGCGAGCGUUGUCCGGAAUUACUGGGCGUAAAGGGUGCGUAGGUGGCACUUUAAGUUGGAUGUGAAAUCCCCGUGCUUAACAUGGGAGCUGCAUCCAAUACUGGAGAGCUAGAGUGCAGGAGAGGUAAGCGGAAUUCCUAGUGUAGCGGUGAAAUGCGUAGAUAUUAGGAGGAACACCAGUGGCGAAGGCGGCUUACUGGACUGUAACUGACACUGAGGCACGAAAGCGUGGGGAGCAAAC
This 250-nucleotide ribosomal RNA is filed under the name uncultured prokaryote. Its description in RNAcentral is "partial 16S ribosomal RNA". It matches the Rfam family "Bacterial small subunit ribosomal RNA", at positions 524 to 773 of the family's 1533-position model. The record is from RNAcentral.